RNAcentral lists this ribosomal RNA (407 nucleotides) under uncultured bacterium. RNAcentral describes it as "partial 16S ribosomal RNA". It matches the Rfam family "Bacterial small subunit ribosomal RNA", at positions 28 to 526 of the family's 1533-position model. The record is from RNAcentral.
GACGAACGCUGGCGGCGUGCCUAAUACAUGCAAGUAGAACGCAGUUGCGCACGGGGGAGAAACGCGUAGGUAACUGCCUCAUAGCGGGGGAUAACUAUUGGAAACGAUAGCUAAUACCGCAUACUUUGAGAUGGACCUGCGUUGUAUUAGCUAGUUGGGGAGGGUAAGGCUCACCAAGGCGCCGAUCCAUUGCCGAGUUGAGAGGGUGAUCGGCCAAACUUGGAAUGGGGCACGGGCCAGGCCUCUUCGGGAAGCAGCAGUAGGGAAUCAUUGGCAAUGGAGGGAAGUCUGAACGAGCAACGGCGGGUGAUUGAAGAAGGGUGUCGGAUCGUAAAGCUCUGUUGUUAGAGAAGCGGUACCUAACCAGAAAGGGACGGCUAACUACGUGCCAGCAGCCGCGGUAAUAC